Molecule: non-coding RNA, 504 nt
Organism: Protopterus annectens (West African lungfish)
Lineage: Eukaryota; Metazoa; Chordata; Ceratodontiformes; Protopteridae
Source: the annotation of a RefSeq genome assembly
UGCAGUACAGAAUACAUAACAUUGGUACGUAUACUGACUCUCUCAACAUACUGCACCAUUAUGUUCCUGGACAGAAACAGAAUAUACACAUGGUUAACGAUCACUGCUGCAAUACUUUCAGGUGGAGAAUCUGCAGAAACUGUCACUCAGCCUGCAGUUUUAACUGCAGUAGAAGGGAGUGUGGCUACAAUUUACUGUAAUCAUUCUAUAUCAGGUUAUGACAAUAUCCAAUGGUAUAAUCAGACUGUUAAUGGUAUCCCAAAGCUUAUACUGAUUACCUAUAAGAACCUCGAAAGCUCUGGACGAUUUACUGUUAGUGUUGAUAAAGGAAACAAGUCCACAAGACUUUCAAUUGCUGAUGUGGAUGUUAAAGAUGCCGGUACCACCUACUACUGUGCAGUGAGUGACACAGUAUGAGAACACAGUGUUACAACAGCACUAUAUCCCAGUUGAUAUGAAAUGCCUCAUUAUAUACAGUACAUGAAAUGGUUUCUGUUUUGUAAU